ACGAUGAGCCCUUCGGGGUGGAUUAGUGGCGAACGGGUGAGUAACACGUGGGCAAUCUGCCCUUCACUCUGGGACAAGCCCUGGAAACGGGGUCUAAUACCGGAUAACACUCUGUCCCGCAUGGGACGGGGUUGAAAGCUCCGGCGGUGAAGGAUGAGCCCGCGGCCUAUCAGCUUGUUGGUGGGGUAAUGGCCUACCAAGGCGACGACGGGUAGCCGGCCUGAGAGGGCGACCGGCCACACUGGGACUGAGACACGGCCCAGACUCCUACGGGAGGCAGCAGUGGGGAAUAUUGCACAAUGGGCGAAAGCCUGAUGCAGCGACGCCGCGUGAGGGAUGACGGCCUUCGGGUUGUAAACCUCUUUCAGCAGGGAAGAAGCGAAAGUGACGGUACCUGCAGAAGAAGCGCCGGCUAACUACGUGCCAGCAGCCGCGGUAAUACGUAGGGCGCAAGCGUUGUCCGGAAUUAUUGGGCGUAAAGAGCUCGUAGGCGGCUUGUCACGUCGGAUGUGAAAGCCCGGGGCUUAACCCCGGGUCUGCAUUCGAUACGGGCUAGCUAGAGUGUGGUAGGGGAGAUCGGAAUUCCUGGUGUAGCGGUGAAAUGCGCAGAUAUCAGGAGGAACACCGGUGGCGAAGGCGGAUCUCUGGGCCAUUACUGACGCUGAGGAGCGAAAGCGUGGGGAGCGAACAGGAUUAGAUACCCUGGUAGUCCACGCCGUAAACGUUGGGAACUAGGUGUUGGCGACAUUCCACGUCAUCGGUGCCGCAGCUAACGCAU
This 778-nucleotide ribosomal RNA is filed under the name Streptomyces sp. RNAcentral describes it as "bacterial SSU rRNA". It matches the Rfam family "Bacterial small subunit ribosomal RNA", at positions 66 to 860 of the family's 1533-position model. The record is from RNAcentral. Lineage: Bacteria; Bacillati; Actinomycetota; Actinomycetes; Kitasatosporales; Streptomycetaceae.